GGAGCCAUGUUGAAGGCCACUGAUAAGUGUGAAUUGGACUUCAAGGCAGAAGAAAGGUCCACUUAUAUUGAACAGUUGUUAUUGAUUGCCUAGAAGUUUAAAAGGAGUCCUUACAGCUAUGUUUGGGCAACUGCAGGCAAGCUGCCAAAAUCUUCAGAAGCAUGUAGGUGCUGGUGGAUAUUGUUAUCCAGCUAUAGUAGCCUCAGUGUGAAGAAAGGAGCACUUAAAAUUCUAUUUAAGCUUGAACAUAUUAUAGAAUCUGUCAAAUC
RNAcentral lists this unclassified non-coding RNA (269 nucleotides) under Hevea brasiliensis (rubber tree). Lineage: Eukaryota; Viridiplantae; Streptophyta; Magnoliopsida; Malpighiales; Euphorbiaceae. The record is from RNAcentral.